CCUACGGGAGGCAGCAGUGGGGGAUAUUGCACAAUGGGGGGAACCCUGAUGCAGCGACGCCGCGUGGGUGAAGGAGUAUUUCGGUAUGUAAAGCCCUAUCGGCAGGGGAGAAAUCGGACGGUAGCUGACUAAGAAGCACCGGCUAACUCAGUGCCAGCAGCCGCGGUAAUACGGAGGGGGCAAGGGUUAUCCGGAUUUACUGGGUGUAACGGGAGCGUAGACGGUCAGGCAAGCCUGGAGUGGAAGCCCGGGGCGCAACUCCGGGACUGCUCUGGAAACUGUCCGGCUGGAGAGCGGGAGGGGCAGGCGGAAUGCCUGGUGUAGCGGUGAAAUGCGUAGAGAUCAGGAGGAACACCGGCGGCGAAGGCGGCUUGCUGGGCCGCGACUGACGUUGAGGCUCGAAAGCGUGGGGAGCAAACAGGAUUAGAUACCCGGGUAGUC
Molecule: ribosomal RNA, 441 nt
Filed under: uncultured bacterium
Lineage: Bacteria
Description: partial 16S ribosomal RNA
Rfam family: Bacterial small subunit ribosomal RNA
Source: RNAcentral